Cricetulus griseus (Chinese hamster) is the source of this 107-nucleotide small nuclear RNA. NCBI's taxonomy places the organism in Eukaryota, Metazoa, Chordata, Mammalia, Rodentia, Cricetidae. The record is from Ensembl.
GUGCUUGCUUCGGCAGCACAUAUACUAAAAUUAGAACAAUACAGAGAAGAUUAGCAUGGUCCCUGUGCAAGGAUAACACACAAAUUCGUGAUGCGUUCUAUAUUUUU